GUCAUUCAGGCCCUACCAAGUCAAAAUAAAAAGGAACAGAACAGCUUAAAUGAAGACCCCUAUCCCACAGUCGGGACAAAGUAAGACUAUGGCCUAAGCUAGCAACAACAUCAGCAGUAAAGUUAGCCUCCUGAAAAAUGUGCUGAAAAGAAAUCUCCUCGCAAUAAGAACUAAGCACUUGAAUGUCUUGCACAAGGAGACUUAUGCUCCAUGGAACCGAAACCAGAUUGUUAACACAAUCAAUGAUGAGUUUUGAGUCACCUUCCACCAGGAUCCUUCGCUAACCCUUAUGAAUAGCAUGAGCCAGGCCAUCCCGAAGAGCCAAACACUCUGCAACUGUAAUUGAAACUUGAUCGGAGUUUUUAGCGCCAGCUAAAUGAACAUUACCAUUCCAGUCACGAAUCACAAAACCAGCAGCAGCC
This 422-nucleotide long non-coding RNA is filed under the name Prunus persica (peach). RNAcentral describes it as "long non-coding RNA (PPER_LNC003466)". The record is from RNAcentral. Lineage: Eukaryota; Viridiplantae; Streptophyta; Magnoliopsida; Rosales; Rosaceae.